CUUGGUCAUUUUGAGGAAGUGAAAGUCGUAACAAGGUCUCCGUUGGUGAACCAGCGGAGGGAUCAUUAUAGAGUUUUCUAAACUCCCAACCCAUGUGAACUUACCAUUGUUGCCUCGGCAGAAGCUGCUCGGUGCACCCUACCUUGGAACGGCCUACCCUGUAGCGCCUUACCCUGGAACGGCUUACCCUGUAACGGCUGCCGGUGGACUACCAAACUCUUGUUAUUUUAUUGUAAUCUGAGCGUCUUAUUUUAAUAAGUCAAAACUUUCAACAACGGAUCUCUUGGUUCUGGCAUCGAUGAAGAACGCAGCGAAAUGCGAUAAGUAAUGUGAAUUGCAGAAUUCAGUGAAUCAUCGAAUCUUUGAACGCACAUUGCGCCCAUUAGUAUUCUAGUGGGCAUGCCUGUUCGAGCGUCAUUUCAACCCUUAAGCCUAGCUUAGUGUUGGGAGCCUACUGCUUUUGCUAGCUGUAGCUCCUGAAAUACAACGGCGGAUCUGCGAUAUCCUCUGAGCGUAGUAAAUUUUUAUCUCGCUUUUGACUGGAGUUGCAGCGUCUUUGGCCGCUAAAUCCCCCAAUUUUUAAUGGUUGACCUCGGAUCAGGUAGGAAUACCCGCUGAACUUAAGCAUAUCAAUAAGCGGAGGA
RNAcentral lists this ribosomal RNA (644 nucleotides) under Pestalosphaeria hansenii. RNAcentral describes it as "eukaryotic LSU rRNA". The stretch from base 264 to 417 matches the Rfam family "5.8S ribosomal RNA". The record is from RNAcentral. Lineage: Eukaryota; Fungi; Ascomycota; Sordariomycetes; Amphisphaeriales; Amphisphaeriaceae.